UUACACACUAACAUCUUCAAAUCUACUUGUACUAUCCUUGACAGAGUCUGCACUUUUAUCAUCGAUUCAGGUAGCUGCAGUAACGUUAUUUCCGACUAUGCGGUACAGAAAUUGGGUCUGAAGGUCGAAAUCCAUCCGACGCCGUAUUCGCUUGGUUGGGUUCAAGAUGGCGUUGGCGUGCACAUUUCACACCGUGUUAUGGUUCCUUUCUCGAUCGGCC
Molecule: long non-coding RNA, 220 nt
Filed under: Capsella rubella
Lineage: Eukaryota; Viridiplantae; Streptophyta; Magnoliopsida; Brassicales; Brassicaceae
Description: long non-coding RNA (CRUB_LNC002644)
Source: RNAcentral